UCACAAACUGUGAGAUCAUGACCUGAGCCAAAAUCUAGUCAGAUGCUCAACCAACUGAGCCACCCAAGCACUCCUCAGGGGAUUUUCUAAAAACUCAUUAUUAUUUAUCCUAUAUCUAAAUUCCAUCCAUCUAUCCCCUCCCUCCACCCGCCCUCCAUCCACCCAUCCGUCAUCCAUCCAUCCAUCCAUCCAUCCAAUAAACCUUUAUUGAAUAUAUCCUUGCUUAGCUCUGGGGAUACAGAAAAAACUCAGGCCCCUUCUCUGUGCUCAUUGAGUUCACAGUCUAGUGGGAAAGACAGCCAUAUAAGCCACAAAUCAUUAGUUUCCUUAACCCCAUUUUCAGACAGUACUACCUUUGGCAGUAACAGUUUCCACAGACCACGGAUUAUGGGACUUUAAGUUCAGUUCACCUUUAUGAAACAUCUACUAUGGGCAAGAUCUGCAGAUACAGUGAUGGACAAGACACCGUUUCUAUCCUCAAGAAGGUCACAGUCAAGGGAGAAAAGGACACACAAACAGGGCAAAAAGAAACCUGUUAGAUGAAGAGGACAGAAGGAAGCAUGGCUUGUCGGAGGACCUGGAAGCGGGUAUUAUUGGGGCUUCAGGAGGGAGGUGGUGGGGCGCGAGU
Herpailurus yagouaroundi (jaguarundi) is the source of this 628-nucleotide long non-coding RNA. RefSeq lists it as uncharacterized. The transcript is spliced from 3 exons. The record is from RefSeq and is a predicted model, not a curated record. Lineage: Eukaryota; Metazoa; Chordata; Mammalia; Carnivora; Felidae.